GGCAGCCGCGCGGCCCCCGGAGCGUCCGCGACGCAGGAAACUGCCCCGGCCGGUUUAAAAACAGCUGCUGGAGCUGCAGGUGCCGGGCUGAGCUUUCCGGGAGCGGAGCUCCGCUGGUGUGUCCGGGGAAGGGCAAGAAAGCCGGCGUAGGGUCUGGAGCAGAAGUGCGAUGAGAAGCGGCUGAGGGAGCUGGGAAUGCUCAGCCUGGAGAAAAGGAAGCUCAGAGGUGGCUUUAUCACUCUCUAGAACCCCCUGAAAGGAGGCUGCAGCCAAGUGGCCCCAUGUAACCAGCAUCAGGAGAAGAGGACAUAGUCUUUAGCUGGGCCAUGGAGGUUCAGGUUGGACAUUAGGAGGAAUUUCUUUGCAGAAAGGGUGAUUAGGCAUUGGAAUGCGCUUCCCAGAGAGGUGGUGGUGUUACUAUCCCUGAAGGUGUUUAGGAAAACACUGGAUGUGGCACGCAGUACCACGUUGUAGUUGGCAAUCUGGUGUUAGCUCAAAGGCUGAACUAGAUGAUCUCUCAACCUAAUUGAUUCUGAGAUUCUGUGACUCCUGGGAUCCCUACACCACGCCCCCAGGCCCUAUUCCCACCUAUUGUGAAAUUCACCUCUGCUGCCUGCAGCCAAGGUCCGCCUGGGUUCAAAGAUCAAGGAAGGCACCUUGGCCCCUGCGCCACUCAGCCUUCUCUGUACCGAGAGUAAUUUUGUCCUUCACACCAUGGACUAAAUAAAUACCUACAAAAGCUUCCCUGCAGCUGUACAGAUGCUCUUAGCUUCACUUGUGCCCCCAUGGAGGGAAAGGCCUUUCCCCAUGCAGGUGAUGUGCCUUGGUACCCCAAGAACAAUUUUCUCACCUUGUUAAUAAAAAUGAGAGAGGAACCAACAGGCGCCGGUGAUACAAUGUAUCCCACUGAAGAAGUAAGAAAUCGUGCCACUGACUGAUAUGAGUGUGACCUGCCUUUUUACACUUGUUGAUUCUGGAGGCCUGAAGGCAGAGAAACAAUCAGCAUUGUCAUACACAGUGGGAAAAUUCACCUAAAAAAGUAGCAUUUCAGUGUUCGGAUGAAAACCAAUCACGCUGCAAACCGGGAGGUUAUUUUCUGAGAACACUGUAGCAAGCUGUGUACAUCGAAGGCUAAAGCAAUGCUCAGAAGAGCUUAAAAAUGUUCUGUUGAAACAGUGAGCAUGAAAAUGGCAACAAAAAAGAAUUGGUGUUGGUCUGUUGAUCUGUGUGUGUUUAGUCCGUCCAAGGCCUAGGGAACUAGGUUCAGAAUGGUGACAUUCUGCAGAGGAAGACAGGAAAACUGGGCAAUGUCCAAAAUUAGUGUUUAACAGAUAUAUAGCCUAGGCAGAAUACUAAUAGCUGCAAAAUGAACAUUUAACAUAUGGAUAAAGUAAUGACUGGUUAGAGGGCUCCCAUUAGAGAUAUAAUAGGAAAUGUAAAUUAAUAUGAGAGCAAAUACCAUGCUAUAGAAGUGAAUAAACGUACCGAAGGAGAGCUAGAGCCUCGAUCCAAACUGCUGGAUCGUCCAACCGAACCAGCAUUAAGGCCCCUACGUGCAGCAAUUCCACUGCCAUCAGCCAUCCUGACCAAAACGAAGGCUGUGGCACAGCAGAUCCUGCGCUGAGCCCGCUGCAGAGCAAAGCUGAGCAGAUCCAGGGCCCUGCAGGAGGCACUUUGGGGCUGCUGGAUGAGCACUGGAUCCGUGGGGGUCAGCUGUGCUGCGGGAGCCCUGGCACGCCAGGAGAGAGCCGGUGUGAGAUGCAGGUUUUGAAGAAAGGAUCAAAAUAUCAGUUGCUGAAGAAAUAGAGACGGGAAGGGAAGUUGGCUGUUCCAAGUCUUGAUAGCCUUAAAAAUGUUUGAAAAAUUCUGCGUCGAAAGAGGGAAGGGCAAAGUGGUGCCACCUUCACAACCACAGCGUGGUGCAGGGUCAGAGCCUGUGCUGGUGGGCAUUGAACCGUGGCAGCGAAACUGGGCAGUUUAGUGAGAAAAAGCGUGAAGUUUAACGAGAAGAAAAUUUAUGAAAAUGGCAAUAAGCAGCUCUCUUCAUUGUUUACAGUGGAAGCCAGUUGUUUUUUACACUCUUUAUUAAUUUCUUCCUUGAAUACAGUGAAAAGGGUAGAUAUGAAAUUAAGAUAUCUUAAAAGUUCUUAAGUAAUUCAAAUUUUCAUAAUUUAAAUAUCAAAUUUAUUGAUAAAACUUUAAAAUGCAGAUCUAUAUCCAGAUUAUUUCCUGAAUUUAUACCUCAUUGAAGAAGAAAGCAACAGAACAUUAUGGACAGUUUCACAUGUUAAGAAAAAAUUCGUCAUGUACGUGAAAGUACCUUUUUAAAUGCAUAAUAUCUGUAGCUAUUAAACAAAAUUGAUUUAUUACACCAAUA
Long non-coding RNA from Hirundo rustica (Barn swallow), 2377 nucleotides. RefSeq lists it as uncharacterized. The record is from RefSeq and is a predicted model, not a curated record. The transcript has 3 exons. Lineage: Eukaryota; Metazoa; Chordata; Aves; Passeriformes; Hirundinidae.